UCUGACACAGGUGCUGCAUGGCUGUCGUCAGCUCGUGUCGUGAGAUGUUGGGUUAAGUCCCGUUAACGAGCGCAACCCUUGUCCUUAGUUACCAGCACGUUAUGGUGGGCACUCUAAGGAGACUGCCGGUGACAACCGGAGGAAGGUGGGGAGUGACGUCAAGUCAUCAUGGCCCUUACGGCCUGGGCUACACACGUGCUACAAUGGUCGGUACAAAGGGUUGCCAAGCCGCGAGGUGGAGCUAAUCCCAUAAAACCGAUCGUAGUCCGGAUCGCAGUCUGCAACUCGACUGCGUGAAGUCGGAAUCGCUAGUAAUCGUGAAUCAGAAUGUCACGGUGAAUACGUUCCCGGGCCUU
RNAcentral lists this ribosomal RNA (356 nucleotides) under uncultured Pseudomonas sp. Its description in RNAcentral is "bacterial SSU rRNA". It matches the Rfam family "Bacterial small subunit ribosomal RNA", at positions 1028 to 1382 of the family's 1533-position model. The record is from RNAcentral. Lineage: Bacteria; Pseudomonadati; Pseudomonadota; Gammaproteobacteria; Pseudomonadales; Pseudomonadaceae.